Long non-coding RNA from Leopardus geoffroyi (Geoffroy's cat), 11179 nucleotides. RefSeq lists it as uncharacterized. The record is from RefSeq and is a predicted model, not a curated record. The transcript has 2 exons. Lineage: Eukaryota; Metazoa; Chordata; Mammalia; Carnivora; Felidae.
CUUUUUAAAAAACUCAUCAUUGAAUCCCCACUGUUGAGCACAGUGGUUGGCACCUUGUAGGUAAUUAAUAAAUAAUGACUAAAUUAAUGAAUGCAUGGGUGAACUAGAUAGAAUUAGACCCUUUUAACAGAUUAAGACAUCAAGGCUCACUCUAAGUAAGAGUUUAGAAGUACCAGAUGCAGGAUUCAGACGCAGGGUCACAAAACCUAGGACACUGCAAUAUCUAUAGUAGUACUGACAGAUUUUGUUUUUAAGGAUCCUCUAAUCACAGUAUAGUAACACACUGUUUUUUGUUUUAAGGCUCUACCUUUUUUUCUUUGCAUGUACACAGAAUAUUUUGAGGGUAGGAACUGGAAUCUCUAGUUGGAACAAGGCAUUUCCUCCUCUUUCCGCUGUCUUGAUGUUUUCAGAGUGUCCUGCCUGGUUGAGCCUUUCUUCCAGUGCCUAAUCAAACUAACCCAGGUGAACUUGGCCGCUGACCUUGCUUUCACAAAUUUGCCGUCUCAGAAUGAUUGAUGUCUGCUUGGUCCCUGUUGGAAAGGUGGCUGCAAAUAUGAUCCAGGAAAUCUAUAGUCGCAAAUCUAGCAUAAUUUUAACGAGUCGUGAUCAGAAUAGUAAGAAGCCCUGCAUGGAAGCCUUUGCAUGAAAAUUACUCAUCUUCUGUCAUCAUUGCCCUUUACAUUGGCUUCUCCAAGUCCCCAUGUGAGGUAUCCAGCUCCAGAAACCUCUGAAUGUUGUGACUAAACACACUUGUAUUGCAUAGAUGGUUCAUGGAUGAGUGGAUGCAUGGAUGGAUGGGUGGAUGCUUUAGAUCAUAAUUUCAUGUCAAUAUAGUUCACAGAUCUAGAACCAGAAAGAAGAUGGGGUGAAACUAAAGAUUACCUCUAUUAAUGCUGGCUUACAAUGCAGUGCAUGGUAUACAGAAACGAUUUGUCUGAGAGCUCAAUUUUCACUUAUGUGAUUGUCUCAGCUAUAGUGCUUUUUGCAAGGUGUGAGAAUUUCCUGUUUACUUAUCUGCUCGCAAUCUAGAAUGUUCAUUCCUUGAGGGCCAGGACUAGGUUAUGUUUAGGGUCUUAUUCCCGGAGGCUUGCGUAAUCCUGGCCGGUCCUAGGUGCUCAAAAGUUUUCUUGAAUGAAACAUGGCCUUCUCACAACGACGGUGAAGCAUAUUGUAAGCACAAGUGACUUGUCAGGAGGGUGAAUCUCUGCAUUGUUUUAAUGAGAAAUAUUUGAAUCUCUAGGGUCGAGGGCACACGCCCACGCCUGUGUGAUGGACAGCCUGGUCUGCUCUUAAGGACUGCAAACAUUAAGGAAAUAGCAAUGUGUGUAAUCCUCUCCUUGAAGAUCCUGGCCACCCUGAGGAGUCCAGCUCUUAGGCAAGGAGAGCCUAUUAUUCACAACCAAUGUUUACUAAACAAAACAACUCUUUCAUCAUCCCUGACUUAGCUUGAACUGACCCCAGAAAGCAAAGCCUAAUGUGAGGGAUUGUGUGAUUCCAGGAAAUAGGAUGGGAACUUGGGGAGAGUGUGACAGGGAAGGAGGGAUGGUCCCUUCAAGGGAGCAGAUGCAGACAGAGAGUGGAAAACUGAGACACAUUCCUCCCAGGACCCUCUGAGAAGAGCCACAGAAUAAAAAUGUCUGUCUCUAGGAAACAGUUAUCUCUAGAAGCCCUAUUGGUCAGGGUUCGUCCACGGGAUGUCAGCUCCCUCUGAUUCCCUGGCUGUGCUAGCACGAGUGACCCCAUGGGUUCCUGCAGGCAUUCCAGUCCAAAGUGUCUGAGGAACCCCAGGGCAGAAUGCAGGAGUGAGAGGAGCAUCUGAACCCUGUGCCGUCUGAUCACACCUGCAGGAAGCUGGUGUCACGGUCAUGGGUGGGAAGUGUGUGGAGUAGGGCUCAAGGAGUGGUCAGCUCAGUCUACUAGUUUAGAUAUGGACUUUAAAGGUCAUUUAUGAGGAUCCUUAUCCUACUAGAAUGGGCUUAUAAGCUUGAAAGGUUAAUACCUGGUAGGAUGCCUUAGAGAAACUGAGGCAGAAGAUAGUCCUGGGGGUACAAUCAGCACAGUGUGGUAGAUAUGGACCCAGUCUUUUGUAUCAAACAUUCCUGGUUUUGAAUUCUCCCUCUGCUGCUUCACAGAGUGAACUUGAAAACAUGAUUUAGUCUGUUUAGGUUAUAGGUUUGCCAUGAUACUAAUGGCAACCUCAUACUGUUUAAGUUGUGGAUCUUUUAUCAGGAGGAUGUAUUCCUAUGUUGCUGUCAUAACUGGAUAUAAUAAAAUGAUGUUUGAAUGGAUCUGAAAUAGAUUUGCAACAGGUUUUUAAAAAGGAACCACAACUUGUUGGGUUGAUAAGACCAUCACAUGAUGUAUGCUUAUACGGCCAUUAUCCCAGAGGAAACCUUCAGUACAUGGUGGUCUUCUUGCUGGUGAUGAAGAAGAAGAGGAGGGGGAAGGAAGGCCACCAGAGUAGGCACAGGAGGAAGGAGUACUCCCGGGGUCUUUGGAAGGGAAGACCAAGGGUCUGUGGGAACUUGCUGGUCCCUACCUUCCCCAUUCCCUCAUCUGGCAAGGAGAACUGGUGUUAGUGUACUUCCUAGCGACAGCCAUCACUGGCUCAGAACCUGGGAAGAACGUGGGCCAGCAGAGAGGACUCAAAGAUAGUGCAUGAGAAGGUGAUAUAGACCAGGAGAGGGGAAUGUGAGGCCAGGACUAAUGGGGGUUAACACAGCAGCUGACAUUUUCUGAGCACUUCUAAUGCGUGGUUCUGUUCUGAGAACUUUCUGCUUAUCAUCUGUUAGUCACAGAUCGUCUAAGCACCGUAAUUUACAUUUUACACAUCACGACUCUGUGGCUUGGAGAGAAUAGGUAAUUUGCCCCAAGUCACAGUGCCAGGAGGGGCAAAGCUGAGAACUGAAGCCAGGAAACGUGAUCCCAGAAUCUACGUAUGAAAUUGCCCCCUUGCAUUGCCUGCUGUAGCAAUUGCUUCUGGUUCACACCUGGCCUGGGAAGUGGGGAUAACACAGGGACACAGAGCAUUUCUCAGGCCCUAAGUUACGAAUAUGCACUAUGACAUAUGCUUCAGUAAUUGAGUAAAAUGUUGAUGAGUUACUCUAUGAUUGAUUACUAUUGUAUUUGUCAGGGUCCCAGCAGGAAGGAGAGUCACACACACACUGGAAUAACUUGAAGAAAACCGAAUAGACUAUUUACGGAGGUGUGGGAAGAUUUGGGGACAACUACUGAAGGACAGGGCAGCACUUGAGAGCCAUGACCUGAAAGUGCAGGGAGAGAGGGGCCACAGAACCCGGAGGGAGCACUCAGUGUCGGGAGACCUGGUCUUCCUAGAGGGACACAGCCAGGGAGGGAACCAGAGGAGGGGGUGCCUUAACCACACCCGCUCCUAUCUGAUGUCCUGCUGGUAACUUCCACUAGUCAAAUCUGAAAGGAAGCCAGAUGAGAGAGCUAGGGGAGAAAACAGCCCCUAGAGGCCAGGGUCUUGGAGCACAAAGGGGGAUGGAGACAAGUUGAUCUGAUAUGGUGAACGGGUGCACCCAACACUAUUGCCAACCUGCAAAUCUAUAUCCUGGGAGGUAUCUGUGGUGUUCAGAGAGGGAGUAUUAUCCUUCCAGUGGAAUACUCUUCACCCAGAAAAAAGAACGAAGCGCUGGCAUGCACUUCAACUUGGGUGGACGUUGACAACAUGAUGCUGAAUGACAGAAGACAGCCAUGAGAGGCCACCUGUUGCAUGAUUCUGGAGAUGUCCAGAACUGACAAACACAGGGAGACAGGAAGAUUAGGCUCACCAGGGCUUGAGAGAGGAAGGAAUGGAGAGUAGCUGCUAAUAGGUACUGGGUUUCCUUUUGGGGUGGUGGGGAUGUUCUGGAACUAGACAGUGGUGAUGGCUGUGUAGCACUGUGAAUGUGGUAAAUGUCACUAACAGUGAAUUUGAUGUUAUGCAUUUUUUACUACAAUGAAAUAAACCGAUAGAUGAGAGGGAACUUCCUUCUCACGAUUUGUCUUUUGUUCACUCUCUGGGCAGACACCAGAACGCACCUGACACUUUCUUGCUAGAAGGUUGGUGGGAGAGGCAUGCUCUCUGUCAGUGGCCCAGCUUCCCACUCCGGUGCCUGCUACUGUCCACACACACAGCGGUGCCAGGGAAUCGCCAGCUCCUAGGAGGCCAGCCAAGCACUGGGUGGAGUCAGUAAACACCAGCCUUCCUGUCCCACAUGUGGGGUCUCAGGGAGGCGUGCGCCCCACACCUGUUCCUGGAGGCCCCCCCCGCAGGCCUCCAGGUGGCUGCAGUAGUUGACUGACAGCAGCAUCAUUCUACUCCCCCUUCUCCUUCGCGUCUCACUUUCCCGCUUACCUGCCUGUGCGCCCACAUCUCCCGGAUCAGCUGCAGCUCUCAAGUGCUGUCUGAGGAUUUAUAACAACUAUAAAAUAAUAAUAGAUAACAUGUAUUGAAUUCUUUUUAUUAAAAUAUGUAUGGGAAGAGACUGGCUUGUGUUCAUUUUGCCUCUCCUCUUCCCAUGAUAAGGCUGUCUUUAUGUAUGAGGUGAACUCCCAUCACUGGUUCUUAGAUGUGCGUGUUAGCAGAAGCCCCCAGGGAGAGUAGCAAAAGUGCAGCUUCCCAGGCUCUGCCCUCAAAUAUGCCGAUUCAGUAAGUCCAGAUGCAGGGUCUUGGAAUGUGCGUUUAUCAAGCUCUUCAGAUUUUUUUAAAGUUUAUUUAUUAUUGAGAGAGGGGCGGAGGAGAGAAACAGAGAAAACAUGCAGGGGAGGGGUAGAGAGAGAAGGAGACCUAGGAUGUGAAGCCAGCUUGAAGGGCUCAAACUCACAAAUCCUUGAGAUCGUGACCUGGGUUGAAGUCUGAUGUUCAACCUACUGAGCCACCCAGGCGCCCCAGCUCUUCAGAUUAUUCCUGUGCAGGAUAGAGGAGGAACAGUCUCUAUGGAGAAACUCUGGACAGUGGUAUCAUGCAGACUGACAGGGGAGGCCAUGUGAUGCAGGUAUCCACAAACACCUGCUCAAAUCCCCCAAAUUCUGCAGGGAGAAAUACCCCACUAUACAUUUACUUCCUCUUCAGCUGGUGGAGUCCACAUCCACAUCCACGUAUGGAGGUUCGUUUCGGUAUUUAAUAAUCAUUAAGUAAAGAGAGAGUGAAAUAUCUACACUGUGUAAUUACAUAAAACAUGCUUCUGGCAAUAUUUGCCCCCUUGGAAAUUCAAAUUGGAAGUCUCUAAGGAGCAAGGUUGUAUUCUUGGAGGUGGACACAAAGUAAUUGAGCUUAGCUAAUGGAGAUAAUUAAUUAGGAAAUGGUUGUGCUUGCUUCUAAGAAAAAUAUUGGAAGGAUCUCCCAGAAGGCCUAGCCCUCUCUGCCCUUGCUAUUUUCAGAAGUCAAUGACACCUAGGGAGACUGGUAUUUCCUCUGAGUCAUGGCCUGGCCACACUCAGGAUUUGAGGGGACAGAACGCAAAUAGCUUGGCCCAACCCUGAGGGUGUCUGGGCUCUACCUUCAGGAAACUACCCCAUUCAGCCUGGGGUUGGGGUCCCAUUCCUCCACUUAUCAGCCUCUGAACUGAGCCAAGUUAGUCAACUUCCACAGGGCGUAGUGUUCUCAUCUUAAAACCAGGAGUUAUAAUCGUAACAACACAAAUGGGUACCAGCAAGACAACACUCUCUCUCUCUCUCUUUCAGCAGAGGGUCUUGUUUUCCUGUAUCUGGGUUACCUGUUUGACCCUUUUUGCCCAAGUUGGGUCUGCCUGAGCCUAGCAUUCUGGCGUGAUCUUUCUAGCUUGUCUGUUUGUCACCUCCCCUUCCUGCCCCUCUCUGUUUCCAAAGGCCAGCCCAUUCUUGCCUAAUAUGCCAGGCUUUCUGGGCCUAUUCCUGCUGCUGCCACAUGACAGUGGCAUGAAUCUUCCAGCCCAGCCCUACAUUUUGUCAUCCCUGUGGUAGGGAAUGAUAACACAGUGGUAAGAGGUUGCAUUCAGACCCCCUAGCUUCCUCUUCCCUAAUCAUAUCACACCAGGAUGGGCCAGGACAACAAGUCAUCUUUGGAAAUAUGGUUGGACCAGAAGAAUCAGCAGCUCUCAAGGGGCAGGAGAAUAAGGGGGCAAGUCAUAGAGGUCAUGGGCAAGGCGUGUGAGCCAUCAUGGAUGGAAGAAUGCAUUCAUCAUCUGGGCAAAACCUCAUUUGUCUUGCUCACCAUGCUGUCUAUACCGUCUAGCUCAGUUGGUAAUUGUGCCAUGAGAGAGAAGCUGACAUCCGAGCCAAAGAGGCAGAGACUUGACCUGGAGGAUGUUUUUCCUUUCUGGUGUGGCAAACAUUACAUUACAUGUUAUUAGGAUAUGCUACAGUAAGGCUUCUGUUUUCUAUGUUGAUGAAAAUGCAAGCUUUUUUAUUCUGUUAUAGAACUAAUAGAAUCAUAGCACAUUUAUCCUUGACUUUUCUGUCCUCUUAUUAGAUCCACUCUGGGAAGUUGGGUGGGAUGUGUCUUUCCCCCAUCUACCCUUUCCCAUUUAUACUGGAGCAAUCGAAACCAGCAAUGGAAAAUUAAUGAAUAGCCAAGAUCCAUGUGGGAAGACUGAGGAGAAGUCCCUUGGGGGAGUGAGGGACUCAAGCCUAUUUAGGGGAAAAGGUCUAAUAAGGGGAAAAUACCCAGGUUCUGGUACCUACAGACAUCUCUUGGUGUCCAGGAUUAGAAGGCAGGUUGAAUAAACAUAGAUCCAGGAUUCAGAACAAAAGGGUGGUGGUGAGAGUGUACCAUGGAGUCUGAUGUAAGCAUUCCUGCCACUUAUCCCAUUGGGGCCAGAUAGGAUUGUCUCUGGGUCAUCGGUCCCUUAGCUAUAAUGAUGCGUCUCUAUCUGGGAUAGCAACCAAUUUUCAUUUUGUGAGUCAGCUGUCAUGUAGAGGCUGCCUAGAUCUCUGUACUUCUGAAGCUCAUCAGGAAGGUGUGCUGCAGUUGAUGAGUGAUGUCUGCCACAGGCAUAGGUGUAGAAGUUUCAUCAUGUGUACCACAUGCUCACCAUCUCAGGUUAAUGUAUAUGCAAUGAAGUCAAGACUUGGGGAGUUGCCUCAGUAUAUAAGGACUCUUCCCAAAAUAUUUCCUUGAAAAAUACAGAUCCUCCAGAUCGGUCCUAUCUGGAGUCUAAUUUGGUUAUAGAAAACAGAACUAUUUGUAAUUGUUUUUGACCCCUUUUCCAAAUUAUUAGUGCUUUGGCAUAAAAGGGAAAGGCAGAGAAGAUGCACCACUUUGGGGAUUACCCUUUACAAACAUGACUUUUAGGUGCACCAUGAACCUGAACUCAGAGCCAGACCUCAGUCCCUGACUUAAGUUCUGCUUUUCUAAGGCCAUAGCCUCCUUCUCAGAGUUGAGGAGGAUAAGAGUAGAAGACAAAUAACUUGUGUGUUCUUUGAGAAAAAAAAAAAUCACAUUUAAAAAGCAGCUUGACAGUGGCUAAAUUCAACUGUUUAUCAUGUAAUAUACUGGAGUCUGGCAAAUUUAGCUGAGCUGGGUGAAACUUAAGACAAAGGGUACAUCACCUAUUACAAAGAAACAUGUGUGUUUUGUGUGUUUACCCAGCAAACUUGUAAGUAAUUUAGAGCACAGCCAUUGGCAGGCAAGUUCUAUUUUGGAGCAAUGAUCCAAUGAAAGAAAAAAGCCUCCGUUUUAUUGAAAGACUAUGAGAUCAUGUCUACACCGUAAAAAGUGACACCUGGGUCAAGAACUGUUAGUAACUGACAAAGAUAUGUUUGCACAUGUAUAAAUGUGUGUGUGCAUUUGCAUGUGCAUGUCCCUCUGUGUACAUAUGUGUGUGCAGGGACAGGUCCUGGUGUGUGAGCUUUUGUAUAUGAAACAGGCUUCUCAGGCUGUAAGGAGGCCAGUGGGUAUUCAGCCAGGCUUGGCUUAGGCAAGCCGUAGCUUUGGUUGUGUGAUUUUAUGCUCAGUUCUUGGGUUCUAUGAAGAAGUUUGACCAUUUCUAGAAUUCUAGAAUGUUUACCAUGUAGGUAAACAUUUCAGAGUUCUUCAAACAGAACCUUAGUUUUAUAUACAAACAAGCUUUAAAAAUUUUUUAAACUUAUUUAUUUAUUUUGAGAGAGACAGAGAGAGUGAGAAGGGGAGGGGUCAAGAGGGAGGAAGAGAGAGAAAAUCCCAAGCGGGCUCCACACUGCCAGUGCAGAGCCCAGCAUGGGGCUUGAGCCCAUGAACUGCGAGAUCAUGACCUGAGCUGAAACCAAGAGUCAGAUGCUCAACCGACAGAACCACCCAGGUCCCCAACAAACUUUUUGAUGAGUGUUUUUCAGGCACACCUCUUGUGAAUGGUCCCCACUUAGAUAUCAUGGUGCCCUGUGGGAGUCAGGUCAUGACAAACAAGCCUGGUGCCUUUGCAGAGAGGGCUGAGUAAUAAGGUGGAAAGAGCAUAUCUCUCUUCCAUGUUAUCCUUAAUGAAUGAGAGUUAGCAUUUUCCUGCUCACUGCAAAAGGAAAUGAUAAUGACCCUAGGCCCCCCCUUUCCAUACCCUUCUCAGAGAUUCGGGUAAUGCAUAAUUAACUUAAUCAUCAGCGUUGAGGGUUAUCAUUUGCCAAGAACAUGUGUUUGGUGUAUGUGGGUCCUGGAGAGAGUGACCGUGGAAUUUCUGGUUCAAAUCAGGAUCCCCUUAACAGCAAAGGGAGCUGCUAUUAAUAAUUAUACUGAGGCAGUUACACUCAGCUCGAACCUUCCUGGGAAAAGUGCGACAUGUACUCACCUUAGCUGGGAAAGAUCUUGGAGCUUUUCCCUGCCAGUCCUGCAGAGGACACUGAGAGGAACAGAAUAAACAGAUCGCUGGAUUCCUCAGGAUUGACUCACUUAUAAAUGCAGAGAAUCUUAGCACAUAUUUGGGUAUUAGCUUCACUUAUGCUGCUGGUUACUGGGUGGGCAGAGAUUAUGGGAGGAGGCCUGAGGAAUGCAGGCUUCCCAUCCGUUUUUCCCAGAAGUGGCAGUAUGAUGUGUGGAUCAGAGAAUGGUCUGGGAAUCAACCAGACGUGUCAUUUACUUGCUGAGGGACCCUGGGCAGAGCUUCAGUUUUUCAGAUCUAAAAGUAAGAACAUUUGUUCCCUCAAGUGAUGAUUAUGAUUCCACGUGGUGACCUGUGGGAAAGAUCCCAGCACCCAGCACACUUUUCCUCCUUGUAGUGAAGACCCAGAAUGUCACUGAUGCCCUGGGGAAAACAGACUGACUGAGAAGUGCGGUAACAAAUGGGAGUUUAUUUUAGUAAUUAUUUCAAAUACUGGCCGUAUCUCUGGACCAUAACUGCCCCACAUUUGGAACGAUUCAGGACAGACAAUUUCUUGUUCAAACUACACCAAGACAUUUCCUCCCUGGAUCCCACUUAUGGAGAGAAGCUACCAGGGGAUUCUCUAUUUUUCAUCAAAGGGUUAGAAAUGGGAGCUCAAUAUUAAUAAGUUCUUGCUUAAUUAGAUGAAGACAUCAUGUACGGGGAAGGCUGCAACUAUUUUCCCUUCACACGUGUAGGGAUCUGCUUCAAAGAUUGUGCAGCUGGGGAGAGAGAGGAGGGGACCUGGCUUUUAUAUAUUAUAGUGUCAGGGGUGCCGGUCAGCAGGCAGGCCGGGUCCCCUCUCAGGAUAGGUCCUUGCUUUAAAGCUGAUGCCAGGGAGAAGUCAGCACCCCCGGACAGCAUGAAGCAAGGGGUGUAAAGGAGAAAGCAAGGUUUGGCAGAAAAAGUAACCAAAUCCCUUAGCCUUUGGGGCCUGUGCCGUGAGACUUUAUUGUACUUUAUUCCAAACUUAUGAGAAAAACCAAGUGGUAUAAGCAGGGGGCCAAGCGUACUGGUCUGUGGAGGAUAAAGAGAUCAUUUACAAUAUGGUUGCUUUCUCUUUUGGUCUCACUCCAUCAAAACUGUGCAUUUUAAACUGGUGGCCCGAUGGGGGCCUCUGUUCAAACUGGCCAUCUUCAGGGCAGAAGCAGAGCCAGGACCAGUGGUCAUGGGUGCUGAGCGUUGGGCAGCCUGACAGGCAUCCCCUAGACACACGUGCCUGGGAUGGGGUUGAUAUUCACCUGUUCAUCGCAACACUGCAGCAUUGCAACGAGGGAUGUGGGCCCUCAGUGAUUGCAGACCUGUAUCAUAGAAAUGGUCCAGGUGCAUAAAUGAGACCAGUAUUUGUGGCUUUGGCUUUCCGUGGAGUCGUGCAUAACUGGGGCUUCUGCCUGGAAUCUUUAGAGUGCAUAACCGCAGCCAGUCGCUUGGCUCUGGCUUCAUGUAGACAAGCCAAGGGUCCUCUUGUCCAACACGGGUGCCACCUAUCAGUAACUACUACCUGCAGGCUGUGUUCUGGAUCUGCUGCUGGGCUCCACACCUAUCUGGGAACAUCUGUUCCUUAAAACCAAGCACUUGAACACACAAAUGUCCUAAGUGAAGAUGAACCAUGUAACUUAACGCACGUUUUUUAAACCUCUCUGAGCUUCUGCCUUUUAACCUGUAAAAGGGACCCACGAUCACAGGGAUGUUUGUGUACAGAAUUAAAUAACAACUAACUAAAUAACUAAAUCAUUAAAUAACCGUCAGAAAUCCAGCAUUGGUCUUUAUUACUACUGCAGACUCUGAAGUUCAUCAAAGGAGAGUCUGUGUUUUCUUGGUUGCACUUCCUGAGCUGGGCAUCUGGUGGUGAUUCACAAAUAUGUAUUGAAUGAAACAUCAAUCAUGACAACAUAGUUUAAAGACUAAUAAUUAAAACAUCAUUCAUUGGAUGUGAGUGUCUUGUAAACCAUUUUGAGAUGUUGCUGUCAGUGUCUGCAAGAGGAAAAUAAGGAUUCAAGGAUAAUUCAAGUGAGUCUUCCCCAAUUAUUUGCUUUAUUUUUUAUAUGUUUGCAAUAUUUACAAUAAAAAAAAUACAGUGGGGACACCUGGGUGGCUAAGUCAGUUUAGCAUCUGACUUUAGCUCAGGUCACGAUCUCACAGUUUGUGGGUUCAAGCCCCGCAUCAGGCUCUGUGCCGACAGCUUGCUCAGAGCCUGCAGCCUGCUUCAGAUUCUACGUCUCCUUCUUGCUGUCUGCCCCCACCCCAAUCAUGCUCUGUCUCUCUCUGUCUCUCAAAAAUAAAUAAAUGUUAAAAACAUUUUUUUUAAAAUACAGUGAAAUAUCCUAAGAAGACUGGAGAGGCCAGGGUGGUGGUUUGAUAACCAAACAACU